GACGAACGCUGGCGGCGUGCCUAAUACAUGCAAGUCGAACGCAGUGGGGACGGGUGAGUAACACGUGGGUAACCUCCCAUCAGAGGGGAUAACACUUUGAAACAGGUGCUAAACCGAUACUGAUGGAUGGCCCCGCGGUUCAUUAGCUAGUUGGUGAGGUAACGGCUCACCAAGGCCACGAUGCAUAGCAGACAGGAGAGGGUGAUGGGAAACACGGGGAAUGAGACACGGCCCAGACGCCGACGGAAGGAAGCAGUAGGGAAUCGUCGGAAAUGGACGAAAGUCUGAACGAGCAACGCCGCUGGAGUGAAGAAAGUGUUCGGAUCGUAAAACUCUGUUGGUAGAGAAGCGGUAUCUAACCAGAAAGCCACGGCUAACUACGUGCCAGCAGCCGCGGUAAUUC
RNAcentral lists this ribosomal RNA (403 nucleotides) under uncultured bacterium. Its description in RNAcentral is "partial 16S ribosomal RNA". It matches the Rfam family "Bacterial small subunit ribosomal RNA", at positions 28 to 526 of the family's 1533-position model. The record is from RNAcentral.